ACAAACGACUCUCGGCAACGGAUAUCUCGGCUCACGCAUCGAUGAAGAACGUAGCAAAAUGCGAUACUUGGUGUGAAUUGCAGAAUCCCGUGAACCAUCGAGUUUUUGAACGCAAGUUGCGCCCGAGGCCAUUCGGCCGAGGGCACGUCUGCCUGGGCGUCACG
Molecule: ribosomal RNA, 164 nt
Filed under: Echinops lipskyi
Lineage: Eukaryota; Viridiplantae; Streptophyta; Magnoliopsida; Asterales; Asteraceae
Also listed under: 1 other name
Description: 5.8S ribosomal RNA
Rfam family: 5.8S ribosomal RNA
About the family: 5.8S ribosomal RNA (5.8S rRNA) is a component of the large subunit of the eukaryotic ribosome. It is transcribed by RNA polymerase I as part of the 45S precursor that also contains 18S and 28S rRNA.
Source: RNAcentral